This 450-nucleotide ribosomal RNA is filed under the name uncultured organism. RNAcentral's name for it is "partial 16S ribosomal RNA". It matches the Rfam family "Bacterial small subunit ribosomal RNA", at positions 334 to 798 of the family's 1533-position model. The record is from RNAcentral.
CACUCCUGCGGGAGGCAGCAGUGGGGAAUUUUACGCAAUGGGGGAAACCCUGACGUAGCGACACCGCGUGAGCGAAGAAGCCCUUUGGGGUGUAAAGCUCUGUCAGCUGGAACGAAAACAAUGACGGUACCAGCAGAGGAAGCAUCGGCUAACUACGUGCCAGCAGCCGCGGUAAGACGUAGGAUGCGAGCGUUGUCCGGAUUUAUUGGGCGUAAAGAGUUCGUAGGUGGUUUGUUAAGUUUGGUGUUAAAGAUCGGGGCUCAACCCUGGGACUGCACUGAAUACUGGCAGACUCGAGUGUGGUAGAGGCUAGUGGAAUUCCCAGUGUAGCGGUGAAAUGCGUAGAUAUUGGGAAGAACACCGGUGGCGUAGGCGACUAGCUGGGCCAUAACUGACGCUGAGGAACGAAAGCCAGGGGAGCGAAUGGGAUUAGAUACCCCAGUGGUCCAA